RNAcentral lists this long non-coding RNA (285 nucleotides) under Bos taurus (domestic cattle). Its description in RNAcentral is "long non-coding RNA NONBTAT004082". Lineage: Eukaryota; Metazoa; Chordata; Mammalia; Artiodactyla; Bovidae. The record is from RNAcentral.
GCUAAAUAAUUAACCUUCCUACUCAUAAUUUUUUUAAAGUAGGCUAAUUAUGUAUAUUACCUUUAAAUUAAUGACAUCUGCAGAACUUAACUGUGUACCAUUCAGCUGAUUUGCCUCCUUGUGAAUCAGUACAAUUUUAUUAGAAAGAAAAGCAAAUAUUAAUAGCUCUGUAGAUGAUAACUAAAGUAAUUUGUCAACCUCAUUUAUUCACUUUUACAAUACUUUUCUGAUAUGCAAGUGAAAAUCAAACCUAACAACCAAAUAUUAUGGGACUCCUAAGCAUCC